RNAcentral lists this ribosomal RNA (540 nucleotides) under Salmonella enterica. RNAcentral describes it as "partial 23S ribosomal RNA". It matches the Rfam family "Bacterial large subunit ribosomal RNA", at positions 1 to 580 of the family's 2925-position model. RNAcentral also lists the same sequence under 6 other names. The record is from RNAcentral. Lineage: Bacteria; Pseudomonadati; Pseudomonadota; Gammaproteobacteria; Enterobacterales; Enterobacteriaceae.
GGUUAAGCGACUAAGCGUACACGGUGGAUGCCCUGGCAGUCAGAGGCGAUGAAGGACGUGCUAAUCUGCGAUAAGCGCCGGUAAGGUGAUAUGAACCGUUAUAACCGGCGAUUUCCGAAUGGGGAAACCCAGUGUGAUUCGUCACACUAUCAUUAACUGAAUCCAUAGGUUAAUGAGGCGAACCGGGGGAACUGAAACAUCUAAGUACCCCGAGGAAAAGAAAUCAACCGAGAUUCCCCCAGUAGCGGCGAGCGAACGGGGAGGAGCCCAGAGCCUGAAUCAGCAUGUGUGUUAGUGGAAGCGUCUGGAAAGGUGCGCGAUACAGGGUGACAGCCCCGUACACAAAAGCGCAUGUGCUGUGAGCUCGAUGAGUAGGGCGGGACACGUGGUAUCCUGUCUGAAUAUGGGGGGACCAUCCUCCAAGGCUAAAUACUCCUGACUGACCGAUAGUGAACCAGUACCGUGAGGGAAAGGCGAAAAGAACCCCGGCGAGGGGAGUGAAAAAGAACCUGAAACCGUGUACGUACAAGCAGUGGGAGC